This is a non-coding RNA of Schistosoma haematobium, 46 nucleotides long. The record is from Rfam. Lineage: Eukaryota; Metazoa; Platyhelminthes; Trematoda; Strigeidida; Schistosomatidae.
GAACUCCUGAGGAGUCCCAUACUAGGACGAAACGGCCGUCCAGUGC